RNAcentral lists this non-coding RNA (48 nucleotides) under unclassified sequences. RNAcentral's name for it is "chromate-resist RNA". It matches the Rfam family "chrB-b RNA". The record is from RNAcentral.
GCGGGCUCACGCGGACGCCCGGUCAGACGCUUGCCGUCCAAGCUCCGC